GGACCAAGGAGUCUAGCAUGUGCGCGAGUCAUUGGGACACUAACGAAACCUAAAGGCGUAAUGAAAGUGAAGGUUCGCCUCGCGCGAACCGAGGGAGGAUGGUCGACCCGGUACGCCGGUCGUCCCGCACUCCCUGGGCGUCUCGUUCUCAUCGCGAGAAGAGGCGCACCAAGAGCGUACACGCUGGGACCCGAAAGAUGGUGAACUAUGCCUGGUCAGGACGAAGUCAGGGGAAACCCUGAUGGAGGUCCGUAGCGAUUCUGACGUGCAAAUCGAUCGUCGGAACUGGGUAUAGGGGCGAAAGACUAAUCGAACCAUCUAGUAGCUGGUUCCCUCCGAAGUUUCCCUCAGGAUAGCUGGCGCUCGCUUCUCGCGAGUCUCAUUCGGUAAAGCGAAUGAUUAGAGGCAUUGGGGUCGAAACGGCCUCAACCUAUUCUCAAACUUUAAAUGGGUGAGAUCUCCGGCUUGCUUGAACUGUGAAGCCGCGAGAUAUCGGAUCAGAGUGCCAAGUGGGCCACUUUUGGUAAGCAGAACUGGCGCUGUGGGAUGAACCAAACGCCGAGUUAAAGCGCCUAAAUCGACGCUUAUGGGAUACCAUGAAAGGCGUUGGUAACUUAAGACAGCAGGACGGUGGCCAUGGAAGUCGGA
Molecule: ribosomal RNA, 648 nt
Filed under: Oryctes cf. boas DA-2012
Lineage: Eukaryota; Metazoa; Arthropoda; Insecta; Coleoptera; Scarabaeidae
Description: LSU rRNA
Rfam family: Eukaryotic large subunit ribosomal RNA
Source: RNAcentral